CGAUGAGUUUGUUCCCAUUGAAACUUGCAAAAAGCGAAAAUUGAUGCCAAGCUGUUGGGAGGAAAACCAGAGACUGAUUUCCAGCCUUCCUGAUGAGAUUUCUAUCCAGAUUCUGGCUAGAGUUCCCAGGAUACAUUACUUGAGACUUAAGUUGGUCUCUCGAGCAUGGAAACAUGCCAUUACAAGCAAUGAACUCUUCCAACUUCGACAGGAACUUGGAACAGCUGAG
Molecule: unclassified non-coding RNA, 229 nt
Filed under: Hevea brasiliensis (rubber tree)
Lineage: Eukaryota; Viridiplantae; Streptophyta; Magnoliopsida; Malpighiales; Euphorbiaceae
Source: RNAcentral